This 460-nucleotide ribosomal RNA is filed under the name Granulicatella adiacens. RNAcentral describes it as "bacterial SSU rRNA". It matches the Rfam family "Bacterial small subunit ribosomal RNA", at positions 28 to 477 of the family's 1533-position model. Lineage: Bacteria; Bacillati; Bacillota; Bacilli; Lactobacillales; Carnobacteriaceae. The record is from RNAcentral.
GACGAACGCGGGCGGCGUGCCUAAUACAUGCAAGUCGAACGAGAGCGACCGGUGCUUGCACUGGUCAAUCUAGUGGCGAACGGGUGAGUAACACGUGGGUAACCUGCCCAUCAGAGGGGGAUAACAUUCGGAAACGGAUGCUAAAACCGCAUAGGUCUUCGAACCGCAUGGUUUGAAGAGGAAAAGAGGCGCAAGCUUCUGCUGAUGGAUGGACCCGCGGUGCAUUAGCUAGUUGGUGAGGUAACGGCUCACCAAGGCCGUGAUGCAUAGCCGACCUGAGAGGGUGAUCGGCCACAUUGGGACUGAGACACGGCCCAAACUCCUACGGGAGGCAGCAGUAGGGAAUCUUCCGCAAUGGACGCAAGUCUGACGGAGCAACGCCGCGUGAGUGAAGAAGGUUUUCGGAUCGUAAAACUCUGUUGUUAGAGAAGAACAAGUGCUAGAGUAACUGUUAGCGCCU